This 468-nucleotide ribosomal RNA is filed under the name uncultured bacterium. Its description in RNAcentral is "partial 16S ribosomal RNA". It matches the Rfam family "Bacterial small subunit ribosomal RNA", at positions 28 to 507 of the family's 1533-position model. The record is from RNAcentral.
GACGAACGCUGGCGGCGUGCUUAACACAUGCAAGUCGAACGGAAAGGCCCUGCUUUUGUGGGGUGCUCGAGUGGCGAACGGGUGAGUAACACGUGAGUAACCUGCCCUUGACUUUGGGAUAACUUCAGGAAACUGGGGCUAAUACCGGAUAGGAGCUCCUGCUGCAUGGUGGGGGUUGGAAAGUUUCGGCGGUUGGGGAUGGACUCGCGGCUUAUCAGCUUGUUGGUGGGGUAGUGGCUUACCAAGGCUUUGACGGGUAGCCGGCCUGAAAGGGUGACCGGCCACAUUGGGUCUGAGAUACGGCCCAGACUCCUACGGGAGGCAGCAGUGGGGAAUAUUGCACAAUGGGCAGAAGCCUGAUGCAGCAACGCCGCGUGCGGGAUGACGGCCGUCGGGUUGUAAACCGCUUGCGCCUGUGACGAAGCGUGAGUGACGAUAAUGGGUAAAGAAGCACCGGCUAACUACGUG